This is a long non-coding RNA of Octopus sinensis (East Asian common octopus), 251 nucleotides long. RefSeq lists it as uncharacterized. The transcript is spliced from 3 exons. The record is from RefSeq and is a predicted model, not a curated record. NCBI's taxonomy places the organism in Eukaryota, Metazoa, Mollusca, Cephalopoda, Octopoda, Octopodidae.
UCUUUCAUGCAGUUUCCAUCCAUCAAAUCCACUCACAAGGCUUUGGUCAACCUAGGGCUAUAGAAGACAUUUGCCCAGGUUGCUGCGCAGUGGGAUUGAACUGCAAACCACUUGGUUGCAAAGCGUGCUUCGUGAUGGCACAGCCCUGCCUCCACCUAUGUUGUUUUGGAACAAUGAAAUGAAGUCGGGUGAGGCAGAACCAACAUCCACAGUCAAUCAUGGAACGCAAAGAGGUGCAUCGGAAGAGCAUC